This 295-nucleotide ribosomal RNA is filed under the name Clostridioides difficile. RNAcentral describes it as "partial 23S ribosomal RNA". It matches the Rfam family "Bacterial large subunit ribosomal RNA", at positions 231 to 528 of the family's 2925-position model. Lineage: Bacteria; Bacillati; Bacillota; Clostridia; Peptostreptococcales; Peptostreptococcaceae. The record is from RNAcentral.
UCGAUUCCGGAAGUAGCGGCGAGCGAACGCGGAUUAGCCCAAACUAAUAAAGUUUUCUUUAUUGGGGUUGCGGAAAUAUCAUAACGAAGAGGUAUCGUAAUUGAAGAGGUUUGGAAAGACCCACCACAGAAGGUAAUAGUCCUGGAUGUUAAACGAGAAGACUUUAGAUAUGAUCCAGAGUACCACGGGACACGUGAAACCCUGUGGGAAGCAGGAGGGACCACCCUCCAAGGCUAAAUACUACCUAGUGACCGAUAGCGUAUAGUACCGUGAGGGAAAGGUGAAAAGAACCCCG